CUGCAAUGGCUCUUUUCGUUUAGUUAUUGGGAAGAGAAAACUUGGAUAACCGAGUAAUUCUAGGGCUAAUAAAGAGGAAGUCCUCUGGUGAGGUGUGUUUAUUAGAAUGAAAACCAUAUGCUUCGGCAUGAUAGUGAGUAAUAGUACUUUAUCGUAUCGCAUGCUUAAUGUAGCGAUGAGUCUUUCAAGUUUCUGCCCUAUCAGCUUUCGAUGGUAGUAUAGUGGGCCUACCAUG
This 235-nucleotide ribosomal RNA is filed under the name Blastocystis sp. RNAcentral describes it as "partial 18S ribosomal RNA". It matches the Rfam family "Eukaryotic small subunit ribosomal RNA", at positions 92 to 348 of the family's 1831-position model. The record is from RNAcentral. Lineage: Eukaryota; Bigyra; Opalinata; Blastocystidae.